AACCAUUCUCACCUGCGGCUAGACCUGCGGAGGGAUCAUUAACAAGCUGUGGGAGAUCAAUUUGAUCUCACACCUGGCCAACCUUGUUAACCUUAAAUAUAUUGCUUUGGUGAGCCCUGGCGGCUUUAGGGUUUAUAUAUAUAUAUCCCUAACCCAGACUAGUUCUCACCAAAGUCAAACCCUAAACUCUUGAUUGUUUCUGCUGUCUGAGCAUGCAAGUGCAAAAUUUAGUUAAAAAAA
This 240-nucleotide unclassified non-coding RNA is filed under the name soil metagenome. RNAcentral's name for it is "partial contains 5.8S ribosomal RNA, internal transcribed spacer 2, and large subunit ribosomal RNA". The record is from RNAcentral.